GGGCGAAUGGUUUAGUGGUAUAAUACUCCCUUAGCAUCUGUUCCCGUCUCCUCGAGAUUAGAACAAUUGUUACUUGGGAGUGGUCCGGGGUUCGAUUCCCCGUUUGUCCA
Beauveria bassiana D1-5 is the source of this 110-nucleotide transfer RNA. It matches the Rfam family "tRNA". From Rfam's summary of the family: Transfer RNA (tRNA) molecules are approximately 80 nucleotides in length. Their secondary structure includes four short double-helical elements and three loops (D, anti-codon, and T loops). NCBI's taxonomy places the organism in Eukaryota, Fungi, Ascomycota, Sordariomycetes, Hypocreales, Cordycipitaceae. The record is from Rfam.